Molecule: ribosomal RNA, 328 nt
Filed under: uncultured bacterium
Lineage: Bacteria
Description: bacterial SSU rRNA
Rfam family: Bacterial small subunit ribosomal RNA
Source: RNAcentral
AUUGAACGCUGGCGGCAUGCCUUACACAUGCAAGUCGAACGGCAGCACGGGAGCAAUCCUGGUGGCGAGUGGGCGAACGGGUGAGUAAUGUAUCGGAACGUACCUUUCAGUGGGGGAUAACGUAGUGAAAGUUACGCUAAUACCGCAUAUUCUAGUGAGCAGGAAAGCUAGGGGAUCGCAAGACCUUGCGCUGAUUGAGCGGCCGAUAUCAGAUUAGCUAGUUGGUGAGGUAAAGGCUCACCAAGGCGACGAUCUGUAGCGGGUCUGAGAGGACGAUCCGCCACGACUGGAACUGAGACACGGUCCAGACUCCUACGGAGGCAGCAGU